This 433-nucleotide ribosomal RNA is filed under the name uncultured bacterium. RNAcentral describes it as "partial 16S ribosomal RNA". It matches the Rfam family "Bacterial small subunit ribosomal RNA", at positions 29 to 507 of the family's 1533-position model. The record is from RNAcentral.
AACGAACGCUGGCGGCAUGCCUAACACAUGCAAGUCGAACGAGACCUUCGGGUCUGGUGGCGCACGGGGGCGUAACGCGGGGGAACCUGCACUUAGGUUCGGAAUAACUCCCCGAAAGGGGUGCUAAUACCGGAUAAUGUCGUCGGACCAAAGAUUUAUCGCCUUUGGCUGGGCCCGCGUUGGAUUAGCUAGUUGGUAGGGUAAAAGCCUACCAAGGCGACGAUCCAUAGCUGGUCUGAGAGGAUGAUCAGCCACACUGGGACUGAGACACGGCCCAGACUCCUACGGGAGGCAGCAGUGGGGAAUAUUGGACAAUGGGCUAAAGCCUGAUCCAGCAAUGCCGCGUGAGUGAUGAAGGCCUUAGGGUUGUAAAGCUCUUUUACCCGGGAUGAUAAUGACAGUACCGGGAGAAUAAGCGCCGGCUAACUCCGUG